GAGUGGCGGACGGGUGAGUAACGCGUGGGUAACCUACCCUGUACAGGGGGAUAACAGUCAGAAAUGACUGCUAAUACCGCAUAAGACCACAGCACCGCAUGGUGCAGGGGUAAAAACUCCGGUGGUACAGGAUGGACCCGCGUCCGAUUAGCUAGUUGGUGAGGUAACGGCCCACCAAGGCGACGAUCGGUAGCCGGACUGAGAGGUUAAACGGCCACAUUGGGACUGAGACACGGCCCAGACUCCUACGGGAGGCAGCAGUGGGGAAUAUUGCACAAUGGGGGAAACCCUGAUGCAGCGACGCCGCGUGGAGGAAGAAGGUCUUCGGAUUGUAAACUCCUGUUGUUGAGGAAGAUAAUGACGGUACUCAACAAGGAAGUGACGGCUAACUACGUGCCAGCAGCCGCGGUAAAACGUAGGUCACAAGCGUUGUCCGGAAUUACUGGGUGUAAAGGGAGCGCAGGCGGGAGAACAAGUUGGAAGUGAAAUCCAUGGGCUCAACCCAUGAACUGCUUUCAAAACUGUUUUUCUUGAGUAGUGCAGAGGUAGGCGGAAUUUCCGGUGUAGCGGUGGAAUGCGUAGAUAUCGGGGGGAACACCAGUGGCGAAGGCGGCCUACUGGGCACCAACUGACGCUGAGGCUCGAAAGUGUGGGUAGCAAACAGGAUUAGAUACCCUGGUAGUCCACACCGUAAACGAUGAUUACUAGGUGUUGGAGGAUUGACCCCUUCAGUGCCGCAGUUAACACAAUAAGUAAUCCACCUGGGGAGUACGACCGCAAGGUUGAAACUCAAAGGAAUUGACGGGGGCCCGCACAAGCAGUGGAGUAUGUGGUUUAAUUCGAAGCAACGCGAAGAACCUUACCAGGCCUUGACAU
This 876-nucleotide ribosomal RNA is filed under the name uncultured bacterium. RNAcentral's name for it is "bacterial SSU rRNA". It matches the Rfam family "Bacterial small subunit ribosomal RNA", at positions 93 to 987 of the family's 1533-position model. The record is from RNAcentral.